This is a long non-coding RNA of Vicia villosa (hairy vetch), 1095 nucleotides long. RefSeq lists it as uncharacterized. Lineage: Eukaryota; Viridiplantae; Streptophyta; Magnoliopsida; Fabales; Fabaceae. The record is from RefSeq and is a predicted model, not a curated record. The transcript is spliced from 6 exons.
AUUCCUUCUGUUUUCUAAAAAAAAAAAUCAAAUAUUCCCCCUCUCUCAUCAUAAAAUCCAAUGCCUCUCUCUUAGAAACCAUUCAGUUUAUCUCUUCUCAAAAUACAAACGAAAGAAAAUAAUUCCAGUUCAAAAGAUCCAUAUGGUAGCUGGAAAUAGAAAACGUGGCGGAGCAAAUAUGAAGUUCUACGGCGGGAAGAUGAGCGUGCGGCGGCCGGUGAAGGUGCGGUGGUGCCGCUACGACAAGAAAACUCAAAGGAAAAUGCAAGAUCUACAAACAGGGUUUUGAAACCUUAAGCUCAAAAUCAAACGCAAAUAGCACAUAAAUCGAAAAUAGAGGAAAGAUACCUUUUGAUUGAAGAACGACGACGACAGUGGCUUAGGUGCGGUGGUUGGAGCUCCGGUCAGAGGCGUUUUACGCAAAGUUGUCCCGGCAGCGACGAUUUCUAUCGGUAGUCAUCUCAGGUUGGGAGUGAGAUAUGCUUCUUGAAAAUACAUUUUUCCCCGGAUUUUGUUUAUAAGCUUCGUGCGGUAUAAAGCUAAAUUAAACUAUUGUGAGAGGGAAACUCCUAAGGUUGCGAAGCAAGACAUGAGAAGAAGUCACGCGGUCGUGCAUACAAGCGGAUGCAAUUCAAUUGUCAAUUUGUUAUUGCGGCAACAAAAGAGAUUGCUUUAGCCAAUGCUCUUGUGGAUGUAGCUACAAGGAUUAAAAAAGACGAGGUUGAGCUUUGUUUAUGAUGUCUAAAGGGGCUGUAUGCUGGAUACAUUAUAUUCUUUGUUCAGUCAGCAUUGAUUAUUAUCGGUUCUAGAGGGUGCAAAAUAAGGAGGACCAAACAACUAAUAUAGUGUGGGAAUUAAGAACUCAGAGGAACAACAUCUAAAUGCAGUGUCAGGGGACUUUAGUUUUCGAUCAAAUGACCCACUGCCUCUAUCAAAACUGCUGGACUCAAGUUUGGCUACAGAAGGGAAAACCUCAAUGGUUACUAUAGUUGCAGACUACAGAAUAUAUUAUCAAUCUGGUGACAAUUGAGCUUUUGGUUGUUUGUUUUGUAACUGUAACUCUUUUUUGGUUGUUAUAUAUAUAUAUAUAUAUAU